AUCUCGAACAAGUAUGUGACCGCACAGGUGAUCCAUACUCCAACAACAAUCGUCGCGUGUUCUGCGAGCUCACAGGAGAAGCUGCUGAGAUCGAACUUGGAGUCGACCCACGACGUCUCUGCCACCGCAAAGAUUGGGAAGUUGCUGGGCAAGUGCCUGCUGCUCAAGGGGAUACCUGCCGUAUCCAUCCACAUGAAGAGAGAGCUGAAGUACCAUGGGAAAGUCGAGGCUGUAAUAGCUUCUGUCAGAGAAGCUGGUGUCAAGCUGUUGUGA
RNAcentral lists this ribosomal RNA (273 nucleotides) under Triticum aestivum (bread wheat). Its description in RNAcentral is "partial small subunit ribosomal RNA". The record is from RNAcentral. Lineage: Eukaryota; Viridiplantae; Streptophyta; Magnoliopsida; Poales; Poaceae.